UGCUCCACGAUGCUAUCUGUUCUAAAAAAAAAUCUGAUUUUCUCCUUCUUGUUGGCUUCUCCGCGCUGGCUCCCAAGUCCACGCCGCCGCCUCCCAUAGCCUCCGUCCAUGUCAAAAUCCUCGCCGCCACUGAGGGUACGAUUCGGCAUAUUGGCCGCCGCCGAGAGAAGCAGCACCGGUGGCCGCGCAGCAGGCGUCGGGAGCGUCGCGUCGCGGUGGAGAGAGCCAGACAGAGGGCUGCUGUCAGUCCGCGCGGUGGCGCCGUGGAGCGACGCGGCAGCCAUUGCCGCUGUUGAAGGAGAGCCGCUAAAGCGUCGAGGCUGCACAGGGUUGUGGCGACUCGAUCUGCGUCGAACGCAUGUUUCUGCGUUGGAAUGGUAAAGUAGAGGUGAUGCUAGGCAAGUUCAUUCUUGCCAUGAUUCUUACCUAUUUUUCUUAUUCUUAUCUGUGUUUUUUCUCUGUGUUGAAGAACCCUGUUGGUAGAGAUUAUGUGCUAAUAACCUGUAAGAAUUCAGAGAAUUGAGAGGACAAGUUCCUUUUCAUCUAUGGUUACAGAACAUUCAGAGAAUUGAGAGGACAAGUUCCUUUUCAUCUAUGGUUACAGAACAUCUAUGAGUUGAUGGGCUUGUGAAAUUCCAGCUGGUCGUCGCCUCUUUUAGUAGUAAUUGUCAGCUCUCUGCACUUUUUCCUUGCAUUAUACAAUUUUUCCAUGUGAUGUUAAGGUACUGCUUGUGUGGAGCUGUUGGGAAGCGAAAGGAUGUUACUUGGCUCGAGUUCUACUUGAUGGCACGUUGUGCUGCAGUCUGGGAACCACUCAGUCCUUUUCCAGUAAGGAAAAGUUUGUUUGCUGGUUUCAAACUUGGGAAAUGAUGUUAUGGUCUUCUUCCACUCCGUGAGUUAGGUCCGAGUAAGCUGCCGUCGAGUUCAGUUAGCUAUCAUCAACGAGUGACGUACGUGAGCCAGGGCUUUGAGACAAGAGGAUAAAAGGAUUAUCCUGAAGAUCUCUGUUAACAAUGGGCAAGAGAGAAAGACUCGAAUAACUUUUACCCAUGGACAAUUAUUUGACCAAGAUAGAUGCCGAUGUUUUCAUCUCAGAGUGCUGCCCCACUUCGGAUUGAGGAGAAGGAAGAUGGCGUCAUCGGUAAUACAAUGUUCAUGGAAAUUGCGGCAUGAUGGAAUGGACGAUUUUGGGUUUCUUUAUUGUAAGAAAGAGUAUCCGCGGGAGGCUAAAAAUGGUGUUCUUUGACUACAUGCAGUAUAUGUGUGUUCCUUUGGUUUACAAAGUUGAACCCGACAAAUAGUACUAGACUGGUGAUACAUACGAGAGUCCGUGUUAAUUUUGGGAAAGGAUGCAAGCUUUACUUUUUAGAAGUUCUAAUGUUUCAUUAGAUGUGUUAAUGGUGCUCGAGAUUUUUGCAAAUAGGAAACAUUCAGAGUGCAAUUUAGGAAGUGUAAGCGCGUCACGGUUAUUGGAUCUUCCGGAAGCCACGACAUUUGACUUCCACGCAAAAAGGAUCCAGAUCACGUGCCUCGCGUAGAGGAUGAUGCUGCCCUUGAGGCACCCCAUGAUGACAAGCCACAGCCCUUGUGAUGAGCUCAGGUCACGGACUAAAGAAGAGGAAGAGAUGCACGAGCGCACGCCACCAAGGAGUCGCUCGAGCCUGUCUGCGCCAACCACCUACUCUGACCAUCGCCAGCCCACCUAAUAUGACCAUGUUCUUUGGGCUUUUGUUGCUGAAUAUGCAUAGGGUUCUGUAUCUGAUGAGUUAUUAUGGCAUGCUAUCUUUAUUUGCGUUCA
Long non-coding RNA from Lolium perenne, 1798 nucleotides. RefSeq lists it as uncharacterized. NCBI's taxonomy places the organism in Eukaryota, Viridiplantae, Streptophyta, Magnoliopsida, Poales, Poaceae. The record is from RefSeq and is a predicted model, not a curated record.